AUGAUAAAUGCUACUAUAAACAAACAAAAUGAAUUUGUUAAAAAUGUGGAGUGUGACUCAAUGUGUGAUAGGACGAUAAAUGAAAAUGAUACAAAUGAAGAUAUGAGUAAUAACAAUGAUGAGUUUUUUUUUGAAGAAAGUCAAGAUGGGGAAAAUGGUUUAACAAACAAGGUAGAUUCUGUUAAAAAUAUAAAUAACUUAAACAGAAUGAUAAAAAGUAAAAAUAAUGAAAUAUAUCAUUUAAAGAAUCGUGUUGUGUUAUUAGAAACGGAAUUACAAAUUAAAAACGAUGCAGAAAUUAGAUAUAAAGAAAAGUUAAAAAAAAGAGGAGAAAAUUUUGAAAGUAGUAACAUGAGUGUUGAUACUAGUAUUGACAUGUGUCAGGGUACUGAUAUAGUUGGUAAUAAUGAAGAAAGUAAGGACCGUAGUAAAAGUAAGGACCGUAAUAAAAAUAAGGACAAUAAUAAAAGUAAGGACGAUAGUAAAAAUAGUCGGUGUCGUAGUAUUGGUACUAUAGGCAGUACAUAUAGUCGUGAUAUGAGUAAUGACAGUAAUAAAUCAAAAGAAAGUAACAUAAAUGUAGAAAAUAACAACCAAUUAAUUGAACUAAAAACAGAAGUGAGAAAAAAAAAAGAAGAAGUAAAAGAAUUAAAAGUAUUAUUAGAAGAUGCAAAAAAAGAAUUAAAAGAAGAAAAAAAAAAAAGUUUAAAUUAUGAAAAACAAUAUAAUAAAGAAAAAAGUGAAGUAAAUAUAUUAAAAGAAGAAAUAAAAAUUUUAGAAAAAAAUAUUUCUAAAAAAAAAAAAGAAUCUGCUAUAAGUGAGAAUACAUUAAAUAAUUUAAAAUUAGAAUCGGAUGAAUUUAAUAAUAUAAUAAAUUGUUCUAAUGAAACAAAAAAACAAUUAACUGAUUAUAUACAUAAUUUAUUAAAUACAUUAAGUGAAUAUAAUGAAAAAAUUGAUGAACUAAAAGAUAGUAACAUAUUAGAAAAACAAAAAAACGAAAGAAAUAAAGAAGAAUUAAAAAAAGUAAAAGAUGAUUUACUAGAUUCUAGUAAUCAAAUAGAUGAACUUGCAUUAUUAUUAGAUAAAAAAGAUGAAUCAAUUGAAAACCUUAAAAUAAAAAUAGAAACAAUUAAUAAAGAAUAUUCUGAUUUACAAUUACAAUAUAAUAAUAUAAUAAAAGAAAGUAAAAAUUUACAUUUAAUUAAUUCUUCACAUAAUGCUAAUAGUUCAUUAAUAAUACAACAGUUACAACAAGAAAUAAAAAUGUUAACUAUGAAUAAUAGUCAUUUAAAAAAAAUAGAAGAAGAUUAUAAAAUUAUUUUACAGGAAAAAACUAUAGUAGAAGAUGCUGCUAUAAAAAUUCAAACAGAAUUAAAAAAAUCAGUAGAUAAAAUUAAAAACUUAGAAUCAUAUAUUCAAACAUUAUCAAUCGAAAUUAAUAAUAUUAAAACACAAAGAGAUGAUUCUUUAGAUGCAAUGACUAAAUUAGCGAUUGAUAAAACACAAUUAGAAAAUGAAUUAAUUGCAAAUAAAAGUAUUAUACAUGAUUUGAAAAUGAGAUUAAAUGAAUUUGAAAAUAAUAUAUUAUUUGUUCAAAAUAAUAUGAGUGAAAUGAAUAAAAUGAAUUUACAAAAAAAUCAAACAGAAAUAUUAUUAAAAAAUGAAAUAAAAACAUUAAGAGAAAAUUUAAAUGAAAAAUCAAUUAAAUUAGAAUUAUUACAAGAAAAAGAAAAAAAAUAUGAACAUAAUACAGUUGCUUAUAAUCAGUUUCAUUUAGAAGCGCAACAAAAAUAUAACUCUUAUGAAAAAGUUAUAGCUCAAUUAAAAAAUGAAAUAGAAGAGUUAACUAUAAAUAAUAAUGAUAGUAUUAUAAUAAUUGAUAAAUUAAAAAAUGAAUUAAAGGAACAAGAAAAAGUGAAUGGUACAUAUAAUUAUGUAGACAUAUCAAAAUGUAUUAAAAAUAAUGAUACGAAAUUACAAUCUGUACUUACAGGUGAUAAUAAUAAUGAUCAGAAUAAGAUAGAUGGUUUAUAUGUUAGUACAGAUGUAAAUAGUAAAAAUAAAAAUGGUAAGAUAAUAAAUAUGAACCAAAAUAUGAACAAAAAUAUUGGAAAACAUACUAUAGAUGUGAAUAGUAGUAAUAUGACAGAACAUGUGCUAGAUUAUCGUCAUAAAAAUGUAAAUUACGAUGAUGAUGAUAAUGGUUAUAUUUAUGAUAGUGAUAGGAAUAAUGACUAUAAUAGUUCGAAUAUUAUCGAAAGUGGGGUAAAUGGAGUAAAUAAAAAAAAAUGUGCAAAAAAUAAAACUAAUGACGAAUAUUAUGAUGUACUAGAUGAUGCAAACCAACAAUUAAGAGAAGAUGGUAGUUUAUAUGAUUAUAGGGAAGAUGAUUUUUCUAUUUUUAUAAAACAUAACAAACAGAAAAAUAAUAACGUUAAUAAAUAUAUCAACGACAGUAUGGAUAAUUAUGUAGAAGAUGAUAUUACGGAUAUACAGAAUGACGCAAUUAAAAGAGAAGGAAGUAAACAUAACAAUAAAUUAGCGAAUAGUGAUAUGGUAAAAAAUGGAUUUGAUAAUGAAGAAAGACAAAAGGAGCAACUAAAAAAAGGGCAACUAAAAAAAGAGCAACUAAAAAAAGAGCAACUAAAAAAAGAGCNNNNNNNNNNUAAAAAAAGAGCAACUAAAAAAAGAGCAACUAAAAAAAGAGCAACUAGAAGAUUCUGAUAACUCAAUAACUCUGUUAAAAGACAUAAAUUUUGCAACACUGAAUGAAAUGAAAAAUCAGAAGACCCUUAAUUGGGAUAGUAAUAUACAUGAUUUAUGUUCAAGUAAAAACUCUUCGUCUUAUUUAGGAAAUCACGACAUUUCUUUGUUUGACAGUUCUGUAAUAAAAAAGAUUUUUAAUUUGAGUUGCA
RNAcentral lists this long non-coding RNA (2918 nucleotides) under Piliocolobus tephrosceles (Ugandan red Colobus). RNAcentral's name for it is "lncRNA (ENSPTEG00000018957.1)". Lineage: Eukaryota; Metazoa; Chordata; Mammalia; Primates; Cercopithecidae. The record is from RNAcentral.